RNAcentral lists this ribosomal RNA (253 nucleotides) under uncultured bacterium. RNAcentral describes it as "partial 16S ribosomal RNA". It matches the Rfam family "Bacterial small subunit ribosomal RNA", at positions 524 to 776 of the family's 1533-position model. The record is from RNAcentral.
UACGGAGGGUGCAAGCGUUAUCCGGAAUCACUGGGUUUAAAGGGUGCGUAGGCGGCUAAAUAAGUCAGGGGUGAAAGCUUGCAGCUUAACUGCGAAAUUGCCUUUGAUACUGUAUAGCUUGAAAGGAGCUGAGGUCAGCAGAAUGUGGCAUGUAGCGGUGAAAUGCAGAGAUAUGCCAUAGAAUGCCAAUUGCGAAGGCAGCUGGCUGGGCUUACUUUGACGCUGAGGCACGAGAGCGUGGGGAGCGAACAGA